Molecule: non-coding RNA, 943 nt
Organism: Leptonychotes weddellii (Weddell seal)
Lineage: Eukaryota; Metazoa; Chordata; Mammalia; Carnivora; Phocidae
Source: RefSeq, a predicted model, not a curated record
CUUGUGUGUGUGUGUGUGUGUAUGUUUGCUGGAAGGUGGAAGAAGAAGGGGCAGUAGCAGGGAAGAAAGAGCGGACAUUGGGCCAGUGUAAUAUUUCACACAGGAAACCAUCCUACUGACAUUCCAGGAGGACAUGAAGUGAUAUUUUCAGAGAGCUGAUGCCUCUAUACCAGGAAGUUCCCAGCGCUUUAUAGGUCCAGAGGUAGGGUGGCUGGUGGCUUCAUGCUAUAGCUUUUUAUCUUUCAUCCAGCUCCCUCCCUGGUCAAAAGAUGGCCGCAGCAGUUCUAGCUAUCAUGAUCUCACACCAAUGUCCAGAGCUGGCUGAAGAUCCUACUCCAUUACCAUCUGAAGCAGAAGUGUCUGAAUCAGAAUGCCUCUGCCAUCUGAGUGAAGGACUAUGCCUUGUUGGGGCCAACAGAUGCCUAAAGCAUCUAAUCAGAUGAAAUGAGCCUAGGCUUCCUCUUCAGGGGAGAGGACUUGAGAAUCUGUAGUGAAAGGAGACUUUGCAGGUGAGAGGCUGAAGAACUGCUCCCCAGGUAUGUGCACUGCCUCCCUCACUCCUCAUGUGGCUUUAACUCCUCCUCCAAGUCCUCUCUGCCUGCUGCACUUUUUACCUCUGGGCCUUGCUUUCACCUCCACUUUUCUUCAAUCUACCCUUCACGUAGGCCUUUACUGAGAAAUAUCUCUGUAAGUAUGUGGUUGCCAAAAUGAAAAGAAAUAUCCCCCCUAUUUUUGUCACUAAAUUUCUGACUCUGGUAGCCCCAGUACUCAUUGGCUUUAACAGCUGCUCUCUAUUUCUCUGUGGGUACUCUCCUUGUGUCUGAAGGGGGAACCGGGAGAGCAGGGAUUCCUAAGCUAGAGGGACACAAAGCUUUCCCCUCUGUGGUUUGUCCCCAUACAUGCUGAGACACUCAUUCAUCAGCUCAGCCUUCUCACAGGUAUA